Molecule: non-coding RNA, 1042 nt
Organism: Cyprinus carpio (common carp)
Lineage: Eukaryota; Metazoa; Chordata; Actinopteri; Cypriniformes; Cyprinidae
Source: the annotation of a RefSeq genome assembly
UUUCGUGCUUCAGUGUUGCAUUGGUGAGAUAUUAGUUGCAGAUACAUACUUGCAUAUCUAUAGAAUCACUGUAGUUUAAUCUGUUUCUUUAAUGGCCUUACAGGACUGUGUUUGAUGUUAAAUGUUACACAAACUCCUAGAAACCUUUUCUUAGUCACUGGAGAGUCCAUGAACAUCACCUGCAGUCACCAUGACAAAACCUAUGACAAAAUCUUCUGGUACCAGCAGUCUAAUGGGCAAAAUCUCGAGCACCUUGGCUUUCUUUCCUUCAAGCAGGACUUUGUUGGCGAAAAGGGUUUCACAAUAACAGGAGAUGCAGAGAAAGAAGCGUACCUGCUGGUGUCAUCUGUGAAAGCUGAGCACAGUGCUGUGUAUUUCUGUGCAGUGAGUGCAGCACAGUGCUUCAGGUUUAUAGGAGUCUGUGCUCAAAACCCCUCCCCCGUCACAUGACACAUCUGCACCUGGGUUGACAACCCAGUCAGAUGAGGUGAACAACAGUCUUGACCUUGAGAUAUAUGACAGCUGUACUCUUAUGACUGCAGAGGAAACAAAUAUUUAGAGAAGCAACUGCUGCAUUGUAAUAUUACUUAUUCUAUUGAAUGUUAUAAUCAUGAUCAGAGCAACCAUUUUAACUAUAAUCACUAUUUACUGGUUACCAGUUUGUGUGGUUUGUUCUCCUGUCAUUCAGCAGUCUCCCAAACAUCUUCUUCGGACAGUGGAGGAGAAAGAGGCAGAGCUUUCAUGUCAUCAUGGUGACAGCAGCUAUAUAUACAUGUACUGGUAUCAACAAAAAAAUGAAGGUGGUUCUUUGGAGCUUAUUGGAAUGCUGACAGGUGAUUCAGGUACUCCAGAGGAAAAAUUCAAACCUCGAUUUGCCCUCUCAGGACAUGCUACAAAACUUGCAUACCUGAUCAUAUCCAACAUAUCUCCUGAGGACAGCGCAGUGUAUUUCUGUGCAGCAAGUAAGCACAGCCGUAUAAUUCAUUAUAACCACUGACAAAAAACUGUUCACUUUGCACCUGUUUGAUUAAAAAAAAAAAAA